Molecule: long non-coding RNA, 844 nt
Organism: Bombus terrestris (buff-tailed bumblebee)
Lineage: Eukaryota; Metazoa; Arthropoda; Insecta; Hymenoptera; Apidae
Exons: 3
Source: RefSeq, a predicted model, not a curated record
UCAGUCAGGCAAACUGAGCCAGUAGCCGAGGCUGACACUGCUGGCAGACGUUCGAUCGUUACGCGGCGAAUCAGUGUUGGUCGGUGGUCGGGCGUACCGCGAAGAACACAAUUUGGACAUGCGUAUCGGUCGUUAUCGUUCGUACCCACGUAUGAUCUCUUCUUUCGGAGAUAUAUAUAUAUCUUGUAACAGUAACGGUAACGGCAAUUCUGACAUUUAGUUUAUACGGAAAUAUUAAUACUUUGCUUUUUCACGGGAAGGAAGCAUAAAAGAAGGAAGAAGUAAGAGGAAAACUCGGAUUAAUUGAUCAAGACGGACUUCAACUUUGGAAAGGUUGAAAGGAAAUCGAUUCGAGCGAGGUCGAAAGUAUACACGAUGACAUUGAAUAGUCGGCACUCGGUCUCUCUUGUAGAACGAAUGCGCACCACCUGUAGCUCGAUAUCUACAUAUGCCCAAAGGGUCAAUCGCCUUUUCUUCGUGUUUCUCCGUAAAUAAUUCCGUUGAACAACUGUUAGUAUGAUGCUACCAACACCUCCUAUGUACCAAGCCUGUAUUAUGCCAGUCAUGAGAAGUUCUUUCACUUCGCAAUAACAUCUUUUAAAAAGAAUUCGUCUACCGAUUAUUUGUGAACCUGAAAAAACAACAGUCAAAUUGGAUAUGAUUUAAAUCGUGCUCGUAUUUAUCGACCAGUCGUGUUAUUUGCAUUAUUCCGUACUAUGUUAAAUUAAAUAUUAAAUAUAACACAAUUGUGAGCUAGCGGCCGCGAUAUUGGUAGCGUUGUAACCGUUGUAUCGAUACGAAAGUCUGUAUAUGUAAUUUCUAUUCCUAAUGAAAUUAUUUGAGA